UUCGUCCAAGUGAAGCAGAGGACAGUGGCGGACGGGUGAGUAACGCGUGAGGAACCUGCCUUUCAGAGGGGGACAACAGUUGGAAACGACUGCUAAUACCGCAUAAGCCCACAGAGCCGCAUGGCUCAGGGGGAAAAGGAGCAAUUCGCUUCAGGAUGGAUUCGCGUCCAAUUAGCUAGUUGGUGAGGUAACGGCCCACCAAGGCGACGAUCAGUAGCCGGACUGAGAGGUUGAACGGCCACAUUGGGACUGAGAUACGGCCCAGACUCC
This 270-nucleotide ribosomal RNA is filed under the name uncultured Oscillospiraceae bacterium. RNAcentral's name for it is "partial 16S ribosomal RNA". It matches the Rfam family "Bacterial small subunit ribosomal RNA", at positions 74 to 339 of the family's 1533-position model. The record is from RNAcentral. Lineage: Bacteria; Bacillati; Bacillota; Clostridia; Eubacteriales; Oscillospiraceae.